ACUUGAUCUCAAAUCAGAUAAGAGUACCCGCUGAACUUAAGCAUAUCAAUAAGCGGAGGAAAAGAAACUAACAAGGAUUCCCUUAGUAACGGCGAGUGAAGCGGGAAGAGCUCAAAUUUGAAAUCUUCAAGGUUCUACCUUGACGAAUUGUAGUUUAUAGAAGUGUUUUCUGUUAGUGGAGUGGCAAAAGUUCUUUGGAAUAGGACAUCAUAGAGGGUGAGAAUCCCGUAUUUGGUCAUUCCUCCUAGCGUUGUGAUACACUUUCAACGAGUCGGAUUGUUUGGGAAUGCAGUCCAAAAUGGGUGGUAAAUUUCAUCUAAAGCUAAAUAUUGGCGAGAGACCGAUAGCGAACAAGUACCGUGAGGGAAAGAUGAAAAGAACUUUGAAAAGAGAGUUAAACAGUACGUGAAAUUGUCAAAAGGGAAGCGUUUGACACCAGUGUUGUUUUUCCGAAAAUCAAUUACGAAUGUUUUUGUUUUUAAGGAGUUAUGACUUCAUCGGCUUGCUUCUUUCUUUACGAAACUUUCUUAAUGCACUUUUCGGUUAACAAGUCAACAUCAAUUUCUUUUGUUGUAAAAGGGUAUGAGGAAGGUGGCUUUCUUUUCGGAGAAAGUAUUUAUAGCCUUGUGCCUCUGCAAUCGGAGAGAUUGAGGUCUGCAGCGUAGAUCCUUCGGGGUUAGAUACAUUUGUGCUAAGUUAUAGCUUUUCAUAGACAACUUGUUGACUAUGUUUAGUCUUGUAGCUUACUCGCUUAUGUCAUUUUACCUACGCUUAGGAUGUUGACAAAAUGGUUUUAAACGACCCGUCUUGAAACACGGACC
This 821-nucleotide ribosomal RNA is filed under the name Orpinomyces sp. OYF. Its description in RNAcentral is "eukaryotic LSU rRNA". It matches the Rfam family "Eukaryotic large subunit ribosomal RNA", at positions 1 to 667 of the family's 3401-position model. Lineage: Eukaryota; Fungi; Neocallimastigomycota; Neocallimastigomycetes; Neocallimastigales; Neocallimastigaceae. The record is from RNAcentral.